This is a non-coding RNA of Xylaria sp. CBS 124048, 129 nucleotides long. The record is from the annotation of a GenBank genome assembly. Lineage: Eukaryota; Fungi; Ascomycota; Sordariomycetes; Xylariales; Xylariaceae.
GGGCAAAUGGUCUAGGGGUAUGAUACUCCCUUCGCAUGUCUUGUCAGAAGCCGGUUAGAAUUCUAUCUAGCCAUUACUGCCAGAAAAGAUGCCUGGGAGGGGUCCGGGGUUCAAUUCCCCGUUUGUCCA